AUGCAAGUCGAGCGGGGGAAGGUAGCUUGCUACCGGACCUAGCGGCGGACGGGUGAGUAAUGCUUAGGAAUCUGCCUAUUAGUGGGGGACAACAUCUCGAAAGGGAUGCUAAUACCGCAUACGUCCUACGGGAGAAAGCAGGGGAUCUUCGGACCUUGCGCUAAUAGAUGAGCCUAAGUCGGAUUAGCUAGUUGGUGGGGUAAAGGCCUACCAAGGCGACGAUCUGUAGCGGGUCUGAGAGGAUGAUCCGCCACACUGGGACUGAGACACGGCCCAGACUCCUACGGGAGGCAGCAGAGGGGAAUAUUGGACAAUGGGGGGAACCCUGAUCCAGCCAUGCCGCGUGUGUGAAGAAGGCCUUAUGGUUGUAAAGCACUUUAAGCGAGGAGGAGGCUACUUUAGUUAAUACCUAGAGAUAGUGGACGUUACUCGCAGAAUAAGCACCGGCUAACUCUGUGCCAGCAGCCGCGGUAAUACAGAGGGUGCGAGCGUUAAUCGGAUUUACUGGGCGUAAAGCGUGCGUAGGCGGCUUAUUAAGUCGGAUGUGAAAUCCCCGAGCUUAACUUGGGAAUUGCAUUCGAUACUGGUGAGCUAGAGUAUGGGAGAGGAUGGUAGAAUUCCAGGUGUAGCGGUGAAAUGCGUAGAGAUCUG
This 651-nucleotide ribosomal RNA is filed under the name Acinetobacter baumannii Naval-81. RNAcentral describes it as "bacterial SSU rRNA". It matches the Rfam family "Bacterial small subunit ribosomal RNA", at positions 55 to 700 of the family's 1533-position model. Lineage: Bacteria; Pseudomonadati; Pseudomonadota; Gammaproteobacteria; Moraxellales; Moraxellaceae. The record is from RNAcentral.